Pyrgilauda ruficollis (rufous-necked snowfinch) is the source of this 502-nucleotide long non-coding RNA. RefSeq lists it as uncharacterized. NCBI's taxonomy places the organism in Eukaryota, Metazoa, Chordata, Aves, Passeriformes, Passeridae. The record is from RefSeq and is a predicted model, not a curated record. The transcript has 3 exons.
AAAAAAAAAAAAAAAAAAAAAAAAAAAGAAGAAAAAAAAAAAAAAGAGGCGCAUUUCCUUUUUGACUUAAGAGGGAGAGAGAGAGAGAGAAGAGGAGGCUGGGGGCUGGUGGACGCAUCGAGCUAUCCCUCGUCCCGAUUGUGAACUUGGCAGCGGCUGCUUGGCGUGAAUAACCCCAGUGGCCACUAACCAGGAACACCUGCUGGCCCCGUUACCCGGAACGGGAGGAGAAGAUGGGCAUCUCCAGCGGAAUUCCACCGCGGAAUAUGGAAGUGUUUAAAGGAAGACCUUCCCCGCUUAGGGUGAUUCACAGGCCUAGAUGAGCUGUUUGAUGCUGGAGCUGGAAUUGAUUUGAAUCCUGGACCAUGAUGCCAUGGAGAGAUGGAUCUCUGGGUCUGGAUCACACUCAGAUUACUCCAUAGUUAAUUUUUAUGUGGACCAAGUGAAUUCUUGGGCUCUCUGGUGAAGGGAGAAAAAUGGGGAGUGACUGACAGCAGGACCU